This is a long non-coding RNA of Quercus robur (English oak), 751 nucleotides long. RefSeq lists it as uncharacterized. The record is from RefSeq and is a predicted model, not a curated record. Lineage: Eukaryota; Viridiplantae; Streptophyta; Magnoliopsida; Fagales; Fagaceae. The transcript has 3 exons.
GAAUACCUUACCAAUGCCUAACCAAGCCAUCUCCUCCUCUCCUCUGAACACCGGAGCUUUACCUCAUCGCUGGAGCCGUGGCGGCGUCAUUCUGAGCCGGCGCCGACGCACCGAACCUCAAGGUGGGGCAUAUAUGAGAUCCAUUCUAUGAAUGUGCAUGAGCAAAUGCUUCGGUUGUGUUGAAGAAACUUUGAUGUAAAAAUUAUUCCGCAAUCUAAAUCGUAUGCUAAUGAAAAAACUCCUGAAUGAAAAACUUAAUGAAUUUGAAGCUAAAAGAUAUGGCUCAAUGGCAGCUUUGACUUCUGCAAGAUAUCAAGAUCCCUUAAAUUUACAGGGUGUGCCUUUGUGCUGUCAACCAAAGGGUAAAUUGUAGGUGUAGAAUGGAAUUUUUAAAGUUCUGAAGAAAUCAGAGGUACGCGAGGAAGCACAACAGCAAGAGUAUUGAGUCUGCUACUGAGGAAGAGUAGAGGAAUGGACAAACACAAAGACAAUCAGACAUGAACUCGUUAUUUGCGCUUAAGCCUUGAUGCUGGAAAAUAAUGAGUAUUUAUAUAUUUUUUAAUUUAAGAAAUAAAAUGAAAUUAGAUGAAGGAUUGCUUUAUAGGUUGGUCAAGAAUUUUUUUGAGAAGUUGAAUUGUGGAAUCCCGAAUGGGAUUUCACGUGAGAUUAUAGGCAUUUUGUAUGGAUGGUGAUUUUAGUGAUGAAAAAUAUAUAUAUUUAAAAUUUACUCGGCAAGUUAGUGAGACCUAAA